Molecule: ribosomal RNA, 1017 nt
Filed under: uncultured organism
Description: bacterial SSU rRNA
Rfam family: Bacterial small subunit ribosomal RNA
Source: RNAcentral
GAGGAAUAUUGGUCAAUGGACGAGAGUCUGAACCAGCCAAGUAGCGUGAAGGAUGACUGCCCUAUGGGUUGUAAACUUCUUUUAUACGGGAAUAAAGUUAGCCACGUGUGGCUUUUUGUAUGUACCGUAUGAAUAAGGAUCGGCUAACUCCGUGCCAGCAGCCGCGGUAAUACGGAGGAUCCGAGCGUUAUCCGGAUUUAUUGGGUUUAAAGGGAGCGUAGGCGGGUUGUUAAGUCAGUUGUGAAAGUUUGCGGCUCAACCGUAAAAUUGCAGUUGAUACUGGCGACCUUGAGUGCAACAGAGGUAGGCGGAAUUCGUGGUGUAGCGGUGAAAUGCUUAGAUAUCACGAAGAACUCCGAUUGCAAAGGCAGCUUACUGGAUUGUAACUGACGCUGAUGCUCGAAAGUGUGGGUAUCAAACAGGAUUAGAUACCCUGGUAGUCCACACAGUAAACGAUGAAUACUCGCUGUUGGCGAUAUACGGUCAGCGGCCAAGCGAAAGCAUUAAGUAUUCCACCUGGGGAGUACGCCGGCAACGGUGAAACUCAAAGGAAUUGACGGGGGCCCGCACAAGCGGAGGAACAUGUGGUUUAAUUCGAUGAUACGCGAGGAACCUUACCCGGGCUUAAAUUGCAACUGACUGAACCGGAAACGGUUCUUUCUUCGGACAGUUGUGAAGGUGCUGCAUGGUUGUCGUCAGCUCGUGCCGUGAGGUGUCGGCUUAAGUGCCAUAACGAGCGCAACCCUUAUCGAUAGUUACUAGCAGGUCAUGCUGAGGACUCUAUUGAGACUGCCGUCGUAAGAUGUGAGGAAGGUGGGGAUGACGUCAAAUCAGCACGGCCCUUACGUCCGGGGCUACACACGUGUUACAAUGGGGGGUACAGAAGGCAGCUACACGGCGACGUGGUGCUAAUCCCGAAAGCCUCUCUCAGUUCGGAUUGGAGUCUGCAACCCGACUCCAUGAAGCUGGAUUCGCUAGUAAUCGCGCAUCAGCCACGGCGCGGUGAAUACGUUCCCG